RNAcentral lists this unclassified non-coding RNA (340 nucleotides) under soil metagenome. Its description in RNAcentral is "partial contains 5.8S ribosomal RNA, internal transcribed spacer 2, and large subunit ribosomal RNA". The stretch from base 1 to 120 matches the Rfam family "5.8S ribosomal RNA", at positions 35 to 154 of the family's 154-position model. The record is from RNAcentral.
GAUGAAGAACGCAGCGAAAUGCGAUAACUAAUGUGAAUUGCAGAACUCAGUGAAUCAUCGAGUCUUUGAACGCACAUUGCGCCCCCUGGUAUUCCGGGGGGCAUGCCUGUCCGAGCGUCAUUGCUGCCCUCAAGCACGGCUUGUGUGUUGGGCUCCGUCCCCCCGGGGACGGGCCCGAAAGGCAGCGGCGGCACCGAGUCCGGUCCUCGAGCGUAUGGGGCUUUGUCACCCGCUCUUGUAGGCCCGGCCGGCGCUUGCCGACACAUCAAUCUUUUUUCCAGGUUGACCUCGGAUCAGGUAGGGAUACCCGCUGAACUUAAGCAUAUCAAUAAGCGGAGGA